RNAcentral lists this ribosomal RNA (571 nucleotides) under fungal sp. RNAcentral's name for it is "eukaryotic LSU rRNA". The stretch from base 225 to 378 matches the Rfam family "5.8S ribosomal RNA". Lineage: Eukaryota; Fungi. The record is from RNAcentral.
UUCCGUUGGGGGAACCUGCGGAGGGAUCAUUACAGAGUUAUCUAACUCCCAAACCCAUGUGAACUUACCAUUGUUGCCUCGGCAGAACCUACCCGGUACCUACCCUGUAACGACCUACCCUGUAGUGAGUUACCCGGGAACGGCCUACCCUGUAGUGCGCUGCCGGUGGACUUCUAAACUCUUGUUAAUAAUUGUAAUCUGAGCGUCUUAUUUUAAUAAGUCAAAACUUUCAACAACGGAUCUCUUGGUUCUGGCAUCGAUGAAGAACGCAGCGAAAUGCGAUACGUAAUGUGAAUUGCAGAAUUCAGUGAAUCAUCGAAUCUUUGAACGCACAUUGCGCCCAUUAGUAUUCUAGUGGGCAUGCCUGUUCGAGCGUCAUUUCAACCCUUAAGCCUAGCUUAGUGUUGGGAGUCUACUGAGCAAUCGGUAGUUCCCCAAAUUCAACGGCGGAUCUGUGGUAUCCUCUGAGCGUAGUAAUUUUUAUCUCGCUUUUGUUAGGUGCUGCAGCUCCCAGCCGCUAAACCCCCCAAUUUUAAAUGGUGACCUCGGAUCAGGUAGAUGCCCGGUUGUA